CAGUAGCCGCGGUAAUACGAAGGGGGCUAGCGUUGCUCGGAAUGACUGGGCGUAAAGGGCGCGUAGGCGGUUUAUACAGUCAGAUGUGAAAUUCCUGGGCUCAACCUGGGGACUGCAUUUGAUACGUAUGGACUUGAGUGGAGGAGAGGGUCGUGGAAUUUCCAGUGUAGAGGUGAAAUUCGUAGAUAUUGGAAAGAACACCGGUGGCGAAGGCGGCGACCUGGCCUUUAACUGACGCUGAGGCGCGAAAGCGUGAGGAGCAAACAGGAUUAGAUACCCCAGUAGUCCCUGUCUCUUAUAC
This 301-nucleotide ribosomal RNA is filed under the name uncultured bacterium. RNAcentral describes it as "partial 16S ribosomal RNA". It matches the Rfam family "Bacterial small subunit ribosomal RNA", at positions 509 to 807 of the family's 1533-position model. The record is from RNAcentral.